UGGGGAAUAUUGCACAAUGGGCGCAAGCCUGAUGCAGCCAUGCCGCGUGUGUGAAGAAGGCCUUCGGGUUGUAAAGCACUUUCAGCGGGGAGGAAGGCGGUGAGGUUAAUAACCUCACCGAUUGACGUUACCCGCAGAAGAAGCACCGGCUAACUCCGUGCCAGCAGCCGCGGUAAUACGGAGGGUGCAAGCGUUAAUCGGAAUUACUGGGCGUAAAGCGCACGCAGGCGGUCUGUCAAGUCGGAUGUGAAAUCCCCGGGCUCAACCUGGGAACUGCAUUCGAAACUGGCAGGCUAGAGUCUUGUAGAGGGGGGUAGAAUUCCAGGUGUAGCGGUGAAAUGCAUAGAGAUCUGGAGGAAUACCGGUGGCGAAGGCGGCCCCCUGGACAAAGACUGACGCUCAGGUGCGAAAGCGUGGGGAGCAAACAGG
RNAcentral lists this ribosomal RNA (429 nucleotides) under Chloroflexota bacterium. Its description in RNAcentral is "Chloroflexi bacterium partial 16S ribosomal RNA". It matches the Rfam family "Bacterial small subunit ribosomal RNA", at positions 355 to 776 of the family's 1533-position model. The record is from RNAcentral. Lineage: Bacteria; Bacillati; Chloroflexota.